CCCCUGCCAGCCAGGCCGGGCCCUGUCCCCUGCGGGAAGUGCGGUCCACACCAGGGAAGGGCACCCACCCCAGCACGCCCGGCCUCUUCCUACGGCUAGAGGUCACCGUAAUAUGAGGAACUCAGGGGUGGCGCAGGGACGUGGUUCUGGAUCUUCAGCUGCGACCUCAGGCCUCUCGUCCCCUCCCAGCCUCAGUGUCCCCCCUGCCAGAGUGAGGUGAAAACAGCAAAUGCACGGGCAGAAAGCACCUCCCGGGUCCCCACCAUGCCCCCCGUCCCCAACCCUCAGGAGCAGGAAGGGCCCUGCACCCCAGAGGUGAUCAGCCCCACCCAGUGACGUCGGCUGGAAAGGAGAGAGGGACUAGAAUAGGAGUGCGUGGAAACCUCCCGCCCAGGCCACCAGCACCGGGUGUCUCCUCCCUCACCCCAGGGGCUUCCUUUAGCCAAAACCCUGAGUCUGAAGAUCUGCAAACACCCAAAACACCUAAAUGCUGAGUCAUAAAUUCAGAAAGGUCAAGUGUACUUAGCACACUCUCCACUAUCGCUGUGACAAAAUUGAAGUUCAGCCACAUUUUCCCAAACAAAGCCCUGCCGGAGUCUCAAAGCAGCCUGGCCCUGGGGGGCUGCCUGGCAAAAUCACCGCAGUGUCUUCAGCCUCCCUGCGUGGAAGGUGACAUUCAGAGCUAAUUGGGAGGAUUAAAGCACUUCCCUGGGUUGACACCAAGGUCUCCAGCCACAAGUCUUCACCGUGGAGAAUUCACACCUUGAAACUGAAAGUCUUGAAAGGAAAUCGGAUCCAAUCAAAGCAGAUCGUUACAGCCAAGAAGUCUAUAGCUCGAUUCUGAUCAUUCUUAAUUUUCUCGGGCGUUGAAAACACAGUGACUCAUUUCCAUUUUUGGAGAAACUAAAACGAUCUCAUCUGCCCCCACCGUUCUCGCAUCGUGGAGGCAGGAAGGGGAGAGGCCCCAAACAGGCACGCCCGCGAAAGGAACCUUCAGAACCCUGAAACGCCAGCGCCUGCACAGCACUCGCAGACAGAAGCCUCUCAGGACACAAGUGUCUUUUUAAAAAAUAAACAUUAACAUAUCUUUUGUUCUGCCUAAGCCAGAAGCCCCUUAAGGCUGGUCCCAGCCUGUGACAAUCUGCUUUUCCCACUAGGUGGCUCCCAGACCCCCGGCUGCGUGUCCUCGUCCUCCCGGGAGGGAGGGAGGGAGGAGCAGACGUCCUCCGUGGCUCUGCCCUCCCCCACCUGCCCCCGCGAAGCCACGGCAGUCGCCCCCUCUCUCCCAGUUGCCCCAAAUCCACAGGGUCGGUUUAUAUCAAGUCAACAGGCGAACUCGAUUUCUUAUACAACACAGAAUGAAUCAAUGGAGAAUUAAUGAGAUGUUUUCCCACCGAGACUCUAAGAGCUGUGGCCCCUCCACCUGGCCAAGCGCACUGCUCAGCGUGUCCAGUCUACGCGCACGGGGGCACCUGGGCCUCUCCACACAGCGCCACCGCUGCUCGCAAACCUCCUGCCGCCAUCCUCCUGGCUGGCCACCCACGGGACCUCUCCCUGGUGGGGGGUUGUCAGAGACAGUCCCAGGCCCCCCUGCACAGCCUCCCUGUGGGGUGGGUCCCUGUCCCGGUGACUGAGGGCAAGGGGCUGCCCGGGGUGGCUCCUGAAACUAUCCCCACGUGGAAGGGGCCACGCCCUGAACGCAGGGUGCCUGGCUCACACGUGUCUCUGGCAUGAUCCA
This is a non-coding RNA of Microcebus murinus (gray mouse lemur), 1738 nucleotides long. NCBI's taxonomy places the organism in Eukaryota, Metazoa, Chordata, Mammalia, Primates, Cheirogaleidae. The record is from RefSeq and is a predicted model, not a curated record.